Molecule: ribosomal RNA, 498 nt
Filed under: uncultured bacterium
Lineage: Bacteria
Description: partial 16S ribosomal RNA
Rfam family: Bacterial small subunit ribosomal RNA
Source: RNAcentral
AUUGAACGCUGGCGGCAUGCCUUACACAUGCAAGUCGAACGGUAACAGGUCUUCGGAUGCUGACGAGUGGCGAACGGGUGAGUAAUACAUCGGAACGUGCCUAGUAGUGGGGGAUAACUACUCGAAAGAGUGGCUAAUACCGCAUGAGAUCUACGGAUGAAAGCAGGGGAUCGCAAGACCUUGUGCUACUAGAGCGGCCGAUGGCAGAUUAGGUAGUUGGUGGGAUAAAAGCUUACCGAGCCGACGAUCUGUAGCUGGUCUGAGAGGACGAUCAGCCACACUGGGACUGAGACAAGGCCCAGACUCCUACGGGAGGCAGCAGUGGGGAAUUUUGGACAAUGGGCGAAAGCCUGAUACAGCAAUGCCGCGUGCAGGAUGAAGGCCUUCGGGUUGUAAACUGCUUUUGUACGGAACGAAAAGCCCCGGGUUAAUACCCAGGGGUCAUGACGGUACCGUAAGAAUAAGCACCGGCUAACUACGUGCCAGCCGCCGCCGUAA